Molecule: ribosomal RNA, 501 nt
Filed under: uncultured bacterium
Lineage: Bacteria
Description: partial 16S ribosomal RNA
Rfam family: Bacterial small subunit ribosomal RNA
Source: RNAcentral
AUUGAACGCUGGCGGCAGGCUUAACACAUGCAAGUCGAGCGGAGAUGAGGUGCUUGCACCUUAUCUUAGCGGCGGACGGGUGAGUAAUGCUUAGGAAUCUGCCUAUUAGUGGGGGACAACAUUCCGAAAGGAAUGCUAAUACCGCAUACGUCCGACGGGAGAAAGCAGGGGAUCUUCGGACCUUGCGCUAAUAGAUGAGCCUAAGUCGGAUUAGCUAGUUGGUGGGGUAAAGGCCUACCAAGGCGACGAUCUGUAGCGGGUCUGAGAGGAUGAUCCGCCACACUGGGACUGAGACACGGCCCAGACUCCUACGGGAGGCAGCAGUGGGGAAUAUUGGACAAUGGGGGGAACCCUGAUCCAGCCAUGCCGCGUGUGUGAAGAAGGCCUUAUGGUUGUAGAGCACUUUAAGCGAGGAGGAGGCUACUGAGACUAAUACUCUUGGAUAGUGGACGUUACUCGCAGAAUAAGCACCGGCUAACUCUGAGCCAGCAGCCGCCGUAA